Molecule: ribosomal RNA, 461 nt
Filed under: uncultured bacterium
Lineage: Bacteria
Description: partial 16S ribosomal RNA
Rfam family: Bacterial small subunit ribosomal RNA
Source: RNAcentral
CUACGGGCGGCUGCAGUAAGGAAUAUUGCGCAAUGGAGGCAACUCUGACGCAGCCAUGCCGCGUGCAGGACUGAAGGCCUUAUGGGUCGUAAACUGCUUUUAUUUAGGAAUAAACUCUUGUACGUGUACGAGACUGAAGGUACUAAAUGAAUAAGCACCGGCUAACUCCGUGCCAGCAGCCGUCGGUAAUACGGAGGGUGCAAGCGUUAUCCGGAUUUAUUGGGUUUAAAGGGUGCGCAGGCGGACUAUUAAGUCAGAGGUGAAAUCCCGGAGCUCAACUUCGGAACUGCCUUUGAUACUGGUAGUCUUGAAUACGGUUGAAGUAGGCGGAAUGUAGCAUGUAGCGGUGAAAUGCAUAGAGAUGCUACAGAACACCGAUCGCGAAGGCAGCUUACUAAGCCGAUAUUGACGCUCAGGCACGAAAGCGUGGGGAGCGAACAGGAUUAGAUACCCGAGUAGUC